RNAcentral lists this transfer RNA (93 nucleotides) under Eubacterium sp. Its description in RNAcentral is "tRNA-Ser". It matches the Rfam family "tRNA". Rfam says of the family: Transfer RNA (tRNA) molecules are approximately 80 nucleotides in length. Their secondary structure includes four short double-helical elements and three loops (D, anti-codon, and T loops). Further hydrogen bonds mediate the characteristic L-shaped molecular structure. tRNAs have two regions of fundamental functional importance: the anti-codon, which is responsible for specific mRNA codon recognition, and the 3' end, to which the tRNAs corresponding amino acid is attached (by aminoacyl-tRNA synthetases). tRNAs cope with the degeneracy of the genetic code in two manners: having more than one tRNA (with a specific anti-codon) for a particular amino acid; and 'wobble' base-pairing, i.e. permitting non-standard base-pairing at the 3rd anti-codon position. RNAcentral also lists the same sequence under 2 other names. The record is from RNAcentral. Lineage: Bacteria; Bacillati; Bacillota; Clostridia; Eubacteriales; Eubacteriaceae.
GCAGGGUUGUCCGAGCUGGCCGAAGGAGCACGAUUGGAAAUCGUGUAAUGCUUCAACGAGUAUUCGAGGGUUCGAAUCCCUUGCCCUGCGCCA